CCCUUAGAUGUUCUGGGCUGCACGCGCGCUACACUGAUGCACUCAACGAGUUUACGACCUUGCCCGAUAGGGUUGGGUAAUCUUUUUAAAAUGCAUCGUGAUGGGGAUAGAUUAUUGCAAUUAUUAAUCUUCAACGAGGAAUUCCUAGUAAGCGCGAGUCAUCAGCUCGUGCUGAUUACGUCCCUGCCCUUUGUACACAUCGCCCGUCGCUCCUACCGAUUGAGUGCUCAGGUGAAUAAUUCGGACUGCAGCAAUGUUUGGAUCCCGAACGUUGCAGCGGAAAGUUUAGUGAACCUUAUCACUUAGAGGAAGGAGAAGUCGUAACA
RNAcentral lists this ribosomal RNA (326 nucleotides) under uncultured eukaryote. RNAcentral's name for it is "partial 18S ribosomal RNA". It matches the Rfam family "Eukaryotic small subunit ribosomal RNA", at positions 1470 to 1796 of the family's 1831-position model. The record is from RNAcentral.